Molecule: ribosomal RNA, 492 nt
Filed under: uncultured bacterium
Lineage: Bacteria
Description: partial 16S ribosomal RNA
Rfam family: Bacterial small subunit ribosomal RNA
Source: RNAcentral
AGUGAACGCUGGCGGUAGGCCUAACACAUGCAAGUCGAACGGCAGCACAGUAAGAGCUUGCUCUUACGGGUGGCGAGUGGCGGACGGGUGAGGAAUACAUCGGAAUCUACUUUUUCGUGGGGGAUAACGUAGGGAAACUUACGCUAAUACCGCAUACGACCUACGGGUGAAAGUAGGGGAUCUUCGGACCUUGCGCGAUUGAAUGAGCCGAUGUCGGAUUAGCUAGUUGGCGGGGUAAAGGCCCACCAAGGCGACGAUCCGUAGCUGGUCUGAGAGGAUGAUCAGCCACACUGGAACUGAGACACGGUCCAGACUCCUACGGGAGGCAGCAGUGGGGAAUAUUGGACAAUGGGCGCAAGCCUGAUCCAGCCAUACCGCGUGGGUGAAGAAGGCCUUCGGGUUGUAAAGCCCUUUUGUUGGGAAAGAAAAGCAGCAGGUUAAUACCCCGCUGUUCUGACGGUACCCAAAGAAUAAGCUCCGGCUAACUUCGUG